UCGAACGUGGUGCACGGAGCACUCCUGCAGACAGUGCCCGUGCUCCAGGAACUGCUGCAGGAAUUCCGGGUUCGACUCCCGGCGUUCGAA
Molecule: non-coding RNA, 90 nt
Organism: Mycena metata
Lineage: Eukaryota; Fungi; Basidiomycota; Agaricomycetes; Agaricales; Mycenaceae
Source: the annotation of a GenBank genome assembly